GACGGGGGGGGCAAGUGUUCUUCGGAAUGACUGGGCGUCAAGGGCACGUAGGCGGUGAAUCGGGUUGAAAGUGAAAGUCGCCAAAAAGUGGCGGAAUGCUCUCGAAACCAAUUCACUUGAGUGGGACAGAGGAGAGUGGAAUCUCGUGUGUAGGGGUGAAAUCCGUAGAUCUACGAAGGAAGGCCAAAAGCGAAGGCAGCUCUCUGGGUCCCUACCGACGCUGGGGUGCGAAAGCAUGGGGAGCGAACAGG
This 251-nucleotide ribosomal RNA is filed under the name uncultured bacterium. RNAcentral's name for it is "partial 16S ribosomal RNA". It matches the Rfam family "Bacterial small subunit ribosomal RNA", at positions 524 to 776 of the family's 1533-position model. The record is from RNAcentral.